AUGUAUUUACUAUUAGAAAGUGGAUAAACUUGAUACUUUUGUUACUCAGAAUUCACUAUGAAUACAGCAUUUUGUUAUAAGCACGAACCAUAUAAUAUAUGAUAUGUAUUAUUCGAUAGCCAUCCAUCGUCUAAUGGUAACCAUUGAAGUCUGUAUAAUACUCUAUGGUGCGGCCUACUCACCACAAAAUCCUGAUUGCAAUCCCCGAGUUGUACGAUUUCAAAAAAAACAUGUAGCAAUUUACCAUUCAUGAUAGAAAAAAUUGAAAUUAUGUGAUCACAAUCCAACCACUCCUUGUAAAACUCUUUCUACCACAAAAUAUAGAUUAAAAUUUUGCUCUCAUCCUAAUCGCGUGCAAGCCACGUGAAGCAUUUCUGGCUACAGAUGACACUGCAAACCGUCCUACCCACAACCCACCAUAGCCUCUCAAGUCAUCCUCCUACAUGUCAUCGAAAUGCCUAAAUUUAGAAUUGGAUGCCCACAAAGCAUGACCUUGUGGGACACACAAGAAAAAA
Molecule: non-coding RNA, 515 nt
Organism: Elaeis guineensis (African oil palm)
Lineage: Eukaryota; Viridiplantae; Streptophyta; Magnoliopsida; Arecales; Arecaceae
Source: RefSeq, a predicted model, not a curated record